AUGGGUUUCCGAGCGUGUGGUGACAGGGUGAUUGUUAUUGGGCCUCCAAUCAAUUCUACUGGUGAAAAGGUGGUUGAGCUUCAUUCAUGGACCCCAGAUGGGCAACCGCCCGUGUGGAAUUUGCUUGCCACACGGCCAGAAGGAGACUACCUGAUUUUGUGCGCAGUGAUGAGUUGCUGA
RNAcentral lists this ribosomal RNA (180 nucleotides) under Triticum aestivum (bread wheat). RNAcentral describes it as "partial small subunit ribosomal RNA". The record is from RNAcentral. Lineage: Eukaryota; Viridiplantae; Streptophyta; Magnoliopsida; Poales; Poaceae.